UACGUAGGGUGCGAGCGUUAAUCGGAAUUACUGGGCGUAAAGCGUGCGCAGGCGGUUCGUUAAGUCAGAUGUGAAAGCCCCGGGCUCAACCUGGGAACUGCAUUUGAAACUGGCGGGCUUGAGUGUGGCAGAGGGGGGUGGAAUUCCCAGUGUAGAGGUGAAAUUCGUAGAUAUUGGGAAGAACACCGGUGGCGAAGGCGGCGACCUGGUCCGAUACUGACGCUGAGGCGCGAAAGCGUGGGGAGCAAACAGG
Molecule: ribosomal RNA, 253 nt
Filed under: uncultured bacterium
Lineage: Bacteria
Description: partial 16S ribosomal RNA
Rfam family: Bacterial small subunit ribosomal RNA
Source: RNAcentral